GUCAGCAAGAGGACAGAGAGACGGUGGAUGGAGGCUGGGAGGUGUCGUGCAAAGCUUUGCGAAAUGUGGAAAGGAUUUUGACUUUUCCUCUGGGCGGGGUAGGUGAGAGAGACACCAGGAGACUGGCGAUGAGUAAUUGAGCUCAUUUUCAGGCAAGAACAAAGAUUCAAGGCUGACUCCCAGGAAUUAGAGAUCGGGUAGUACAACAUCAUAUCCCAGUUCAAUUCUAGAAGACAUUAUAGAACAGAUGGUUUCUGAGCAGGGAGAAGCCAACGGAGGUUCAGUAUGACCAAGUCAUGCCAGACUCCUGUCAGCCCCAGCCUGCUCCUGUAUAGCUCCAUGAACUGGAAGUCUUCAGCAGUCAGAUGCAUAUUAGGUGCCUUGGCCUCACCACUAGUGUGGUCUUACUAACGCUGCCCUAAACUUGAUAUACGUGCCCUGAUUCCACUCAGUCAGCUUUUCCCUAAGCCUCUAAGGUCUCUUAGUCUCUUGCUGAAACCAUUAUCUCAGCCCACCUGUACAGGGUCUUGAAAUCCUGUUAAUCUCUUGCAAAGUUCUUCCUUGACAAAACUCUCCCUUGAGAGACUGUCCUUGUAGUGGAUGUCUGCUGUCUCUCCAUGACCAGCAUCCACUUCUCCUUGUGCUGUAACAGCUUCGUACCUGGCCUUGAUAAAGGAUCCUUCCUCCACUCCCACUUCCGUGCUCAGCUCGGGGGAGCUCACUUUGUCUCCAGCUCUAGAGCAUAUCUUUAUCAUAUGAGCAAGGAGCCGCCACUGAAGAGUUUUAGUAUGUCCCUAUGAGGACAGAGUCAAUGGCAGGAUGGUGUGAUCAGAGACGCAUCUGGGGAGAAUCCCUCUGGGUGCAGGGUGAGGAAGAAACUGCAUGCAAGAAGACCAGCUGGAAGACUGUGGGGAGUUUUGAGGAAAGAAAUGGCAGUUUGGACUAGCAUAUUGGCAGGAGGUGGAAGAGAAGUAGAUCGACUCGAGUGACUUUUAGGAAUUAAAGUCAACAGGCUGGUGAUGAAUUGGAUAUGGGGGAUGGAGGGAGAAAGAGAUGUCACAAAUGAUUCCUAAGUUUGCGCUUUGUGCAAGUGAAUGGAUCACGGUGACUUCACCGAUAGAGGGAAAUCAGAAAGAGAAGCAGACUUGAGGAAGGGAGUCAUGAAGAGCAUGGCUUCAGUUCGGAGUAUUUUGAAACACCUAAGAGAAAGUGUUAAGAGGCAAUUGGAUAUACAAAUAUGGAACACUGAGGAUGUAUCUGAGUUGGAGAUAUUAACUUGCCAGUCCACGUAGAAAGCCAAA
This 1301-nucleotide long non-coding RNA is filed under the name Equus caballus (horse). RNAcentral describes it as "lncRNA (ENSECAG00000056861.1)". The record is from RNAcentral. Lineage: Eukaryota; Metazoa; Chordata; Mammalia; Perissodactyla; Equidae.